CCGUCGAUAGCUCAGUUGGUAGAGCGGAAGACUGUAGAGGAACAAUCACAGACAUCUUUAGGUCGCUGGUUCGAAUCCGGCUCGACGGA
Strongylocentrotus purpuratus (purple sea urchin) is the source of this 89-nucleotide non-coding RNA. The record is from Rfam. NCBI's taxonomy places the organism in Eukaryota, Metazoa, Echinodermata, Echinoidea, Camarodonta, Strongylocentrotidae.